UACGGGUAGCUGGUCUGAGAGGAUGAUCAGCCACACUGGAACUGAGACACGGUCCAGACUCCUACGGGAGGCUGCAGUCGAGAAUCAUUGUCAAUGCACGAAAGUGUGAACAUGCGACGCCGCGUGGAGGAAGACGGCCUUCGGGUUGUAAACUCCUGUCAGCAGGGAGGAAGGGCAGCAUUACUAAUAGUGGUGUUGUUUGACAGUACCUGCAGAGGAAGUCACGGCUAACUCUGUGCCAGCAGCCGCGGUAAUACAGAGGUGGCGAACGUUGUUCGGAUUUACUGGGCGUAAAGGGUCCGCAGGCGGUCCUGUGUGUCAGAUGUGAAAGCCAACGGCUUAACCGUUGAAUUGCAUUUGAAACUGCAGGACUAGAGUACUGGAAGGGAGAAGGGAACACUUGGUGUAGCGGUGAAAUGCGUAGAUAUCAAGUGGAACACCGGAGGCGAAGGCGCUUCUCUGGACAGAUACUGACGCUCAUGGACGAAAGUUAGGGUAGCGAAAGGGAUUAGAUACCCCUGUAGUCCCAACCGUAAACGGUGUGCACUAGACGUGGGUGGAUUUACCCCCAUCCGUGUCUGAGCUAACGCAUUAAGUGCACCGCCUGGGGAGUACGGUCGCAAGAUUAAAACUCAAAGGAAUUGACGGGGACCCGCACAAGCGGUGGAGCAUGUGGCUUAAUUCGAUGCAACGCGAAGAACCUUACCUGGACUUGACAUAUAGCUGCAUACGACCUGAAAGGGACGUAGCCUUCGAGGGUGCUAUACAGGUGCUGCAUGGCUGUCGUCAGCUCGUGCCGUGAGGUGUUGGGUUAAGUCCCGCAACGAGCGCAACCCUUGUGUUUAGUUGCCAGCACGUAAUGGUGGGAACUCUAAACAGACUGCUGGUGAAAACCAGAGGAAGGUGGGGAUGACGUCAAGUCAGUAUGGUCCUUAUGUCCAGGGCUGCACACGUGCUACAAUGGGCGAUACAAUGGGAAGCCAAGCCGCGAGGUGGAGCAAAUCCUCAAAAUCGUCCCCAGUUCGGAUUGAAGUCUGAAACUCGACUUCAUGAAGUUGGAAUCGCUAGUAAAGGCGUAUCAGCUACGACGCCUUGAAUACGUUCCCGGGUCUUGUACACACCGCCCGUCACAUCAUGGAAGUUUGUUGCACCCGAAGUCGCUGAUCCAACCUUUUACCAGGAGGAAGGCGCCUAAGGUGUGAUAGAUGACUGGGAUGAAGCCGUAACAAGGUA
RNAcentral lists this ribosomal RNA (1233 nucleotides) under metagenome. RNAcentral's name for it is "bacterial SSU rRNA". It matches the Rfam family "Bacterial small subunit ribosomal RNA", at positions 278 to 1498 of the family's 1533-position model. The record is from RNAcentral.